CCCGCCUACGGGGGGCAGCAGUGGGGGAUAUUGCGCAAUGGGGGGAACCCUGAUGCAGCGACGCCGCGUGGGUGAAGAAGCGCCUCGGCGCGUAAAGCCCUGUCGGCAGGGAAGAAAAUGACGGUACCUGAAGAAGAAGCCCCGGCUAACUACGUGCCAGCAGCCGCGGUAAUACGUAGGGGGCAAGCGUUAUCCGGAUUUACUGGGUGUAAAGGGAGCGUAGACGGCAUGGCAAGCCAGAUGUGAAAUACCGGGGCUCAACUCCGGGACGGCAUUUGGAACUGUUAAGCUGGAGUGUCGGAGAG
Molecule: ribosomal RNA, 305 nt
Filed under: uncultured bacterium
Lineage: Bacteria
Description: bacterial SSU rRNA
Rfam family: Bacterial small subunit ribosomal RNA
Source: RNAcentral